RNAcentral lists this ribosomal RNA (467 nucleotides) under uncultured bacterium. RNAcentral describes it as "partial 16S ribosomal RNA". It matches the Rfam family "Bacterial small subunit ribosomal RNA", at positions 28 to 507 of the family's 1533-position model. The record is from RNAcentral.
GACGAACGCUGGCGGCUUGCUUAACACAUGCAAGUCGAACGGAAAGGCCUCAGCUUGCUGGGGUACUCGAGUGGCGAACGGGUGAGUAACACGUGGGUGAUCUGCCUUGCACUCUGGGAUAAGCUUGGGAAACUGGGUCUAAUACCGGAUAUGAACUGCCUUUAGUGUGGUGGUUGGAAAGUUUUUUCGGUGCAAGAUGAGCUCGCGGCCUAUCAGCUUGUUGGUGGGGUAAUGGCCCACCAAGGCGUCGACGGGUAGCCGGCCUGAGAGGGUGUACGGCCACAUUGGGACUGAGAUACGGCCCAGACUCCUACGGGAGGCAGCAGUGGGGAAUAUUGCACAAUGGGCGGAAGCCUGAUGCAGCGACGCCGCGUGGGGGAUGACGGCCUUCGGGUUGUAAACUCCUUUCGACAGGGACGAAGCUUUUUGUGACGGUACCUGUAUAAGAAGCACCGGCUAACUACGUG